RNAcentral lists this long non-coding RNA (2071 nucleotides) under Triticum aestivum (bread wheat). Its description in RNAcentral is "long non-coding RNA (TAES_LNC016504)". The record is from RNAcentral. Lineage: Eukaryota; Viridiplantae; Streptophyta; Magnoliopsida; Poales; Poaceae.
CAAAACCCCGUCGGCCCGUUUGGUAGGCGAGGAUACAUGGGCCAAACCUCCUCGAUUCCCCUUCCAUUCACUUCCUCCCACGCGGUUCAGAACCCUCGAGGCCCCCCUCGAGGAUUUCGCCGCCCGACUCGUAAGACGCCGCCGCCCGAGACGCCGCCGCCGACUCCUCCACAAGACGCCGCCGCUGCCCGACGCCUCGACGCUGGCGAUCUCGUCCGGCAUACUGGACUUCUCCCCUGCGGUAAGUCCUCGCCUCGUCUCCCCUCUCCUCCCCUCGUCGUCUAGGGCUUUCUGUCCGCCCGGCCAUGGUUGCUACCUCGUCUCUCCCCGGCGACGCCGUCUCUGAGCUGCCCGUCCAAACUUCCCGUCACCAAGUUCGCCAGGUUCGUCCCCCUCCUGGUGACCACUGUUGAUCACGCGGUUGAUCAAUUUGAUGGUCUGAUGUGGAUGUUGGGAAUCGUUGGAUGGAUGAUGAUUAGUGCGUAGUCGUGGUUGGUUGCACGAGGAUGUUUCUCUGGUGCUGCUUGAUCUGUUAAUGGAACAAUAUCUGCUACUCUGAAUUUGUGACGAAUCAUAUUAAGCGUAGUUUUGGGGGGAGGCUAACAAUAUCUGCUACUCUGAACAAUAUCUGCUUGAUCUUUUGUGUGUGUUGUGCUUGAUGAAUUUGGUCUGAUGGUGACAUGACAACUAAGUGAGCUGAAUAUAUUUCUUUGUUUGCCACUGAUCUUAUAACAACUAAGUGAGCUGAACAUAUAAUUGAUCUUCUAAUCUUGACAAACUGAAUAUAACAACUGAAUUUCUUUCUUUGUCAGUGUAUCGUUUCUGUUUAAAAGGCUUUGGUUAUUUGACAAACUUAACUGCACGCCCCUACUGUUUUAUUAAAUGUCAUCUAUGAUCUUCCGGAGAGGCGAGGCGACUCAUUUCAUCGGAGGUCUAAGCAGCUACGUAGUCAGGCCCCUGGCAUACAACAAUACCCUGUUCUGAUCCUUUCAUCAGAGACGGUGAUCCAGGAAUUAUUAUACCUUGUUUUGCUAUGUCUACGGUUGAGUAUGGUGGCCUCAUCCUUGUCAUAUGUCCAGCUUAAGCCCUGUAUUCAUCCUUGCUUGUUCUUGCAGUAGAUGAAAUUGGCUCUCAUAGCAUUAAUUACAUGCCAUUUCUGUGCUUAGGGAACUGCUGGUGAAUCUUUUGCUACCUAUAAUCAUAUUUCAUUUAUCACCUCUUUUGUCUUCAGGUUGAGACUGUUCCCUGUAACUUCAAGUCUUUUUUCCAAGCUUGAGCCUUCUCAUUUUCGAAUCUGUGCAUACAUAUAUAUGGACCCUGGACUGGCGAAGCGUAUGCAUUCCUGAUUCCAUUGUUGGCAGAAAAGUUAUAUCUGACAUCUAGUCUAUAUGGCUCUAGUUUAGUUGGUUCUAGUUUAAUUUAUGGGAACAUUGGUUCUCAUUUAUGGCAACAUUGGUUCUCUACUCUCUGAUUAUAUGUGUCGUCUAGUCUAGUCUGCUAGUACUAUCUUCCAUGCUCAGAUUAUAUAAUACAAUAUGAAAAUUUGUUAAACAUCUAAGCAAUGAAAUUCUGUUUGUAGUUUCUCAUUAUUUAAGCAAGGAAAUUAUGGAGCUAGCUUUCUUAUGUAUCCAUCUGUUCAUUGUUUUUCCGCAUCUAACCCUUGGACCAAUUCAUCUGUUUAUUAUAGGGACCUAAUCUCGCGGAAGACGGGCGACCAUGCUUUGCUGCCACAAGUCUCCUCCACUUUGUGCAGCCCGCAAACAUGUCUUGGAGCAUUCGCCGAUCAAACGUGUGUUUAUGUUGUGAUGAGCCGUUAACUUUUGUUGACCGAAUAUCUUGUAUUUUUCAUUUGGACCGUGGUAUGUGGCAUGUGUAUGUUUUUCAUUUGGACCGUGGAAUGUAUGCAUGUACCAUUUUCAUUAGAACCAUUGAUAAUAGUACUUGUAAGUUGUAACAGAGCAUGUUUGUUGUUUUGUGUAAUCUAGGUGCACUUUUCCUCCGUGAGCUUUUGAAGUUGUAAAAAUUGCAUUUUUAAUUAUAAUAUAGUGGUUUUGCAAACCUUGUGUAUCAA